Molecule: unclassified non-coding RNA, 603 nt
Filed under: Hevea brasiliensis (rubber tree)
Lineage: Eukaryota; Viridiplantae; Streptophyta; Magnoliopsida; Malpighiales; Euphorbiaceae
Source: RNAcentral
GCUCCCUCAACUUUAUUUCUUCUUCUCGUAGCUUGUCUACAUUGUUCUUCUCUCUGUAGAGUUUGUAGAACUCUUGCAAGCGAGCAAUGUCCUGGCUUCUAUCGAUGACCCCACCAUCUCUCUUUGCAAGCUUUUGCUUGAUGACAGACAUCAAACCAGUCUUGAAUUGAAGAACACCUCUUCCUUCACUAUUAGGAUCCAGAUUUUGUGCAAGUGAAUAAGCAUGCUCACAUAAAAUUCUAGAGACAUUCGGAUCUUCAUCUUGAAUUUCAUCAGCAGCCCUCAAAAUUGCAUCAAUAUCCCUAUUGUUUGCAAGUGAAGAGGGAACAUAUCCAGCAAUGCCACCAACGGGUCGGCCAAGUGCAUCAGUCNCCCAAUUCUUUCCCUCCUUAAUGCAGCCCGUACUAACCGCUCCCAGAGAUCCUCUGCUCGAGACAUUUUCUAGCUGAACCCUCGAUCGCGAGGCCAAAACCCUAGAGACCAAGUUGAGAAGGUGAGUUGAAACGGCCUCUUGGACCGGUAGAAAUGGAAAUAAAAAGCUAACUUUUUCUACAGAAAGGUGAUUGUGUUUGGCGUUUGAAAUCGAAGUGAAACUGAAUCCUG